Molecule: ribosomal RNA, 171 nt
Organism: Desulfopila aestuarii DSM 18488
Lineage: Bacteria; Pseudomonadati; Thermodesulfobacteriota; Desulfobulbia; Desulfobulbales; Desulfocapsaceae
Rfam family: Bacterial small subunit ribosomal RNA
Source: Rfam
AAACUGGAGAGUUUGAUCCUGGCUCAGAACGAACGCUGGCGGCGUGCUUAACACAUGCAAGUCGAACGCGAACGAGUUCUUCGGAACUUUAGUAGAGUGGCGCACGGGUGAGUAACGCGUAAGUAAUCUACCCUGGCAUCUGGAAUAACCCACCGAAAGGUGUGCUAAUAC